UACGUAGGGGGCUAGCGUUGUCCGGAAUCAUUGGGCGUAAAGAGCGUGUAGGCGGCCCGGUAAGUCCGCUGUGAAAGUCGGGGGCUCAACCCUCGAAUGCCGGUGGAUACUGUCGGGCUAGAGUGCGGAAGAGGCGAGUGGAAUUCCUGGUGUAGCGGUGAAAUGCGCAGAUAUCAGGAGGAACACCGGUGGCGAAGGCGGAUCUCUGGGCCAUUACUGACGCUGAGGAGCGAAAGCGUGGGGAGCGAACAGG
RNAcentral lists this ribosomal RNA (253 nucleotides) under uncultured bacterium. Its description in RNAcentral is "partial 16S ribosomal RNA". It matches the Rfam family "Bacterial small subunit ribosomal RNA", at positions 524 to 776 of the family's 1533-position model. The record is from RNAcentral.